GAAUACCCAGGCGCUUGAGAGAACUCGGGUGAAGGAACUAGGCAAAAUGGUGCCGUAACUUCGGGAGAAGGCACGCUGGCGUUGGUGAAGGGACUGGCUCCCGGAGCUGAUACCAGUCGCAGAUACCAGCUGGCUGCAACUGUUUAAUAAAAACACAGCACUGUGCAAACACGAAAGUGGACGUAUACGGUGUGACGCCUGCCCGGUGCCGGAAGGUUAAUUGAUGGGGUCAGCCGCAAGGCGAAGCUCUUGAUCGAAGCCCCGGUAAACGGCGGCCGUAACUAUAACGGUCCUAAGGUAGCGAAAUUCCUUGUCGGGUAAGUUCCGACCUGCACGAAUGGCGUAAUGAUGGCCAGGCUGUCUCCACCCGAGACUCAGUGAAAUUGAACUCGCUGUGAAGAUGCAGUGUACCCGCGGCAAGACGGAAAGACCCCGUGAACCUUUACUAUAGCUUGACACUGAACCUUGAGCCUUGAUGUGUAGGAUAGGUGGGAGGCUUUGAAGUGUGGACGCCAGUCUGCAUGGAGCCGACCUUGAAAUACCACCCUUUAAUGUUUGAUGUUCUAACGUGGGCCCCUGAACGGGGUUGCGGACAGUGUCUGGUGGGUAGUUUGACUGGGGCGGUCUCCUCCCAAAGAGUAACGGAGGAGCACGAAGGUUAGCUAAUCCUGGUCGGACAUCAGGAGGUUAGUGCAAAGGCAUAAGCUAGCUUGACUGCGAGAGUGACGGCUCGAGCAGGUGCGAAAGCAGGUCUUAGUGAUCCGGUGGUUCUGAAUGGAAGGGCCAUCGCUCAACGGAUAAAAGGUACUCCGGGGAUAACAGGCUGAUACCGCCCAAGAGUUCAUAUCGACGGCGGUGUUUGGCACCUCGAUGUCGGCUCAUCACAUCCUGGGGCUGAAGUAGGUCCCAAGGGUACGGCUGUUCGCCGUUUAAAGUGGUACGCGAGCUGGGUUUAGAACGUCGUGAGACAGUUCGGUCCCUAUCUGCCGUGGGCGUUGGAAGAUUGAGGGGGGUUGCUCCUAGUACGAGAGGACCGGAGUGAACGCACCACUGGUGUUCGGGUUGUGAUGCCAAUUGCAUUGCCCGGUAGCUAAGUGCGGAAGAGAUAACCGCUGAAAGCAUCUAAGCGGGAAACUUGCCCCGAGAUGAGUCUUCCCUGGGACUUCGAGUCCCCUGAAGGGCCGUUGAAGACGACGACGUAGAUAGGCUGGGUGUGUAAGCGUAGCGAUACGUUGAGCUAACCAGUACUAAUGACCCGAGAGGCUUAACCUUACAACACCGAAGGUGUUUUAG
Molecule: ribosomal RNA, 1293 nt
Filed under: Lonsdalea populi
Lineage: Bacteria; Pseudomonadati; Pseudomonadota; Gammaproteobacteria; Enterobacterales; Pectobacteriaceae
Description: bacterial LSU rRNA
Rfam family: Bacterial large subunit ribosomal RNA
Source: RNAcentral